UACAGAGGGUGCAAGCGUUAAUCGGAAUUACUGGGCGUAAAGCGUGCGUAGUCGGCCAUUCAAGUCGGGUGUGAAAGCCCCGGGCUCAACCUGGGAAUUGCAUUCGAUACUGUGUGGCUAGAGUUCGGCAGAGGGAAGUGGAAUUUCUGGUGUAGCGGUGAAAUGCGUAGAUAUCAGAAGGAACAUCAGUGGCGAAAGCGACUUCCUGGACCAGAACUGACGAUCAGGCACGAAAGCGUGGGGAGCAAACAGG
Molecule: ribosomal RNA, 253 nt
Filed under: uncultured bacterium
Lineage: Bacteria
Description: partial 16S ribosomal RNA
Rfam family: Bacterial small subunit ribosomal RNA
Source: RNAcentral